RNAcentral lists this ribosomal RNA (253 nucleotides) under uncultured bacterium. Its description in RNAcentral is "partial 16S ribosomal RNA". It matches the Rfam family "Bacterial small subunit ribosomal RNA", at positions 524 to 776 of the family's 1533-position model. The record is from RNAcentral.
GACGAACCGUGCAAACGUUAUUCGGAAUCACUGGGCUUAAAGGGCGCGUAGGCGGGCAAUCAAGUCCGGGGUGAAAUCCUCCAGCUUAACUGGAGAAGUGCCUCGGAUACUGGUCGGCUCGAGGAGGGUAGGGGCAUCUGGAACUAGCGGUGGAGCGGUGAAAUGCGUUGAUAUCGCUAGGAACUCCGGUGGCGAAGGCGAGGUGCUGGACCCUUUCUGACGCUGAGGCGCGAAAGCCAGGGGAGCGAACGGG